Molecule: ribosomal RNA, 529 nt
Filed under: uncultured bacterium
Lineage: Bacteria
Description: bacterial SSU rRNA
Rfam family: Bacterial small subunit ribosomal RNA
Source: RNAcentral
AAUAGAUACCCCGGUAGUCCACGCCGUAAACGAUGAGUGCUAAGUGUUAGAGGGUUUCCGCCCUUUAGUGCUGCAGCAAACGCAUUAAGCACUCCGCCUGGGGAGUACGGCCGCAAGGCUGAAACUCAAAGGAAUUGACGGGGGCCCGCACAAGCGGUGGAGCAUGUGGUUUAAUUCGAAGCAACGCGAAGAACCUUACCAGGUCUUGACAUCCCCUGACAACCCUAGAGAUAGGGCGUUCCCCUUCGGGGGACAGGGUGACAGGUGGUGCAUGGUUGUCGUCAGCUCGUGUCGUGAGAUGUUGGGUUAAGUCCCGCAACGAGCGCAACCCUUGAUCUUAGUUGCCAGCAUUCAGUUGGGCACUCUAAGGUGACUGCCGGUGACAAACCGGAGGAAGGUGGGGAUGACGUCAAAUCAUCAUGCCCCUUAUGACCUGGGCUACACACGUGCUACAAUGGAUGGUACAAAGGGCUGCAAAACCGCGAGGUUAAGCGAAUCCCAUAAAACCAUUCUCAGUUCGGAUUGCAGG